UGGGGAAUUUUGGACAAUGGGCGCAAGCCUGAUCCAGCCAUGCCGCGUGUGGGAAGAAGGCCUUCGGGUUGUAAACCACUUUUGUCAGGGAAGAAACGGCUCUUACUAAUAUUAGGAGCUAAUGACGGUACCUGAAGAAUAAGCACCGGCUAACUACGUGCCAGCAGCCGCGGUAAUACGUAGGGUGCAAGCGUUAAUCGGAAUUACUGGGCGUAAAGCGUGCGCAGGCGGCUUUGCAAGACAGAUGUGAAAUCCCCGGGCUCAACCUGGGAACUGCAUUUGUGACUGCAUGGCUAGAGUACGGUAGAGGGGGAUGGAAUUCCGCGUGUAGCAGUGAAAUGCGUAGAUAUGCGGAGGAACACCGAUGGCGAAGGCAAUCCCCUGGACCUGUACUGACGCUCAUGCACGAAAGCGUGGGGAGCAAACA
RNAcentral lists this ribosomal RNA (427 nucleotides) under uncultured bacterium. RNAcentral's name for it is "bacterial SSU rRNA". It matches the Rfam family "Bacterial small subunit ribosomal RNA", at positions 355 to 774 of the family's 1533-position model. RNAcentral also lists the same sequence under 2 other names. The record is from RNAcentral.